RNAcentral lists this ribosomal RNA (405 nucleotides) under uncultured bacterium. RNAcentral describes it as "bacterial SSU rRNA". It matches the Rfam family "Bacterial small subunit ribosomal RNA", at positions 354 to 776 of the family's 1533-position model. The record is from RNAcentral.
GUGGGGAAUAUUGGACAAUGGGCGCAAGCCUGAUCCAGCCAUGCCGCGUGAGUGAUGAAGGCCUUAGGGUUGUAAAGCUCUUUUACCUGGGAAGAUCAUGACGGUACCAGGAGAAUAAGCCCCGGCUAACUUCGUGCCAGCAGCCGCGGUAAUACGAAGGGGGCUAGCGUUGUUCGGAUUUACUGGGCGUAAAGGGCGCGUAGGCGGGCUGAUAAGUCAGGGGUGAAAUCCCAAGGCUCAACCUUGGAACUGCCUUUGAUACUGUCGGCCUUGAGUCCGGGAGAGGUGAGUGGAACUGCGAGUGUAGAGGUGAAAUUCGUAGAUAUUCGCAAGAACACCAGUGGCGAAGGCGGCUCACUGGCCCGGAACUGACGCUGAGGCACGAAGGCCAGGGGAGCGAAAGGG